AUGCCAAGGUUGGGACACUUCAUAAAAUAGUCCUUGAAUCUUUUUCAUGAUUCUGGAUAGCUCUUGAAAUCUAUUUCCUUGAAAGUAUAUAUUUCAUUCUUGAUCU
This 106-nucleotide small nucleolar RNA is filed under the name Olea europaea subsp. europaea. Its description in RNAcentral is "Plant small nucleolar RNA R71". It matches the Rfam family "Plant small nucleolar RNA R71". Rfam says of the family: R71 is a member of the C/D box family of snoRNAs containing the C (UGAUGA) and D (CUGA) box motifs. Lineage: Eukaryota; Viridiplantae; Streptophyta; Magnoliopsida; Lamiales; Oleaceae. The record is from Rfam by way of RNAcentral.